CGGGGCUUAAAGUCUUGUAAUUGGAAUGAUGGGAAUUUAAACCUCUUCCAGAGUAUCAAUUAGAGGGCAAGUCUGGUGCCAGCAGCCGCGGUAAUUCCAGCUCCAAUAGCGUAUAUUAAAAUUGUUGCAGUUAAAAAGCUCGUAGUUGAAUUUCUGCUGCAUUGCUUGUGUCCCUCUGGGGUCUGUGCAUGUGGCUUUUUUCGGACGGAGUUUCUUUGUCUGAAUGUUUACUUUGAGAAAAUUAGAGUGCUCAAAGCAGGCUUUCGCCUUGAAUAGUUUAGCAUGGAAUAAUAAAGUAGGACUUUGGUUCUAUUUUGUUGGUUUUAGGUACCAAAGUAAUGGUUAAUAGGAACAGUUGGGGGCAUUCGUAUUUAACUGUCAGAGGUGAAAUUCUUAGAUUUGUUAAAGACGAACUACUGCGAAAGCAUUUGCCAAGGAUGUUUUCAUUAAUCAAGAAC
Molecule: ribosomal RNA, 458 nt
Filed under: Theileria annulata
Lineage: Eukaryota; Apicomplexa; Aconoidasida; Piroplasmida; Theileriidae
Description: SSU rRNA
Rfam family: Eukaryotic small subunit ribosomal RNA
Source: RNAcentral